Molecule: non-coding RNA, 30 nt
Filed under: Rattus norvegicus (Norway rat)
Lineage: Eukaryota; Metazoa; Chordata; Mammalia; Rodentia; Muridae
Source: RNAcentral
UGGAAGAGCAGUGCAGUGAGGGUCUAGUAU